Molecule: ribosomal RNA, 419 nt
Filed under: uncultured bacterium
Lineage: Bacteria
Description: bacterial SSU rRNA
Rfam family: Bacterial small subunit ribosomal RNA
Source: RNAcentral
UGAGGAAUAUUGCACAAUGGGCGCAAGCCUGAUGCAGCGACGCCGCGUGUGGGAUGAAGGGGCUACGCCUCGUAAACCACUGUAGCCCGGGACGAAAAACGCCUUAGAGGCGUUAGACGGUACCGGGAAAGUAAGGGUCGGCUAACUACGUGCCAGCAGCCGCGGUAAUGCGUAGGACCCAAGCGUUGUCCGGAUUUACUGAGUGUAAAGGGCGUGCAGGCGGUUGGCUAAGUUGGGUGUGAAAGCUCCUGGCUCAACUGGGAGAGGUCGCUCAAGCCUGGCCGGCUGGAGAGCAGGAAGGGAAGGUGGAAUUCCGGAUGUAGUGGUGAAAAGCGUAGAUAUCCGGAGGAACACCAGUGGCGAAGGCGGCCUUCUGGACUGCAUCUGACGCUCAGACGCGAAAGCUAGGGGAGCAAACG